This 497-nucleotide long non-coding RNA is filed under the name Mytilus galloprovincialis (Mediterranean mussel). The record is from RNAcentral. Lineage: Eukaryota; Metazoa; Mollusca; Bivalvia; Mytilida; Mytilidae.
GCUAGCCAAUGGUUUCGAUCCACUCUCCUCCUCUACACCCUUGGCGGAUUAAGAGAGAGUUUUUGAUACACCACGUAAUGAUUUUCAUUGGUUGCAGUCGUUACUUGCUGCAUCCAAUCAAAAAGUGCAUAUGACACGAUCACGUGUAAAUGAAGAAAUUGUAGGUAAACAACUGCCUCUAGUUGAUUAUGCAGCAACUCUUUACCCCUUAAAAUGUACGACGAUAUUUGGUGACACUUUAAAUUUACAUAAUCAACAAAUAAAAGGCCCUGUGUAUGAUUCUUGCACAAAUGUUGGAAUGUCAACAUAUAUUUUCGUUACCUGCUUCGCAAAGUUUUUAAACUCUAGACGCUACCAUGUUUUGACCUCCACACUAAAGAGUGUACAAGUCUUACCAUUGUUCAGUGGUAAUGUACCCGGAAUGGUCAUAAAUUCAAUCAUCCGCUAGAUGACGCAACAUUGUUUUCACAAAUGUUGGCUUAAUCUGCCAAGGUGGG